Molecule: long non-coding RNA, 115 nt
Organism: Ostrinia nubilalis (European corn borer)
Lineage: Eukaryota; Metazoa; Arthropoda; Insecta; Lepidoptera; Crambidae
Exons: 2
Source: RefSeq, a predicted model, not a curated record
AAAAACAUUUGCCAUCAAGAUGCACAGGCAGAAAUAUUAGUCCACAGUUAUAAAAGACCUAAGAAAAACAUUGAAAUGAAAGACACUUCAUCAACAUUUACAAUUAAAGAGAAGA